GCCCAGGUGUCCAUAAGUGUAUCCCAGGUGUGCCCAGGUGUGAUCCAGGUGUGCCAAGGUGGUGCCCAGGUAUGAUCCAGGUGAGCCCAGGUGUGAUCCAGGUGUGCCCAGGUGUC
Zonotrichia albicollis (white-throated sparrow) is the source of this 116-nucleotide non-coding RNA. Lineage: Eukaryota; Metazoa; Chordata; Aves; Passeriformes; Passerellidae. The record is from RefSeq and is a predicted model, not a curated record.